GCUAGGUCCUUUUCGUUAAAACUCCCUAUAUUUUUUUGGGCAUGGAAAUUAGACAACGUAAGGUAAGGUCCCUCUCAUGCAUUUACAACAUCCACAUGCAGUUUCCUCUCGACCAUUUCAAACCCUCUAAAGAGGCUCAUAAUUUCAAGUCCCUCUCGCUCCUCCACCUAUAUAUAUGUUCCAUUACCACACAAUUUCAAACCCUCUAAUGUGAUGUUGGAAAGAAAAAUGAAAAGUUAUAGCUAAA
Molecule: long non-coding RNA, 247 nt
Filed under: Malus domestica (apple)
Lineage: Eukaryota; Viridiplantae; Streptophyta; Magnoliopsida; Rosales; Rosaceae
Description: long non-coding RNA (MDOM_LNC017796)
Source: RNAcentral